CAGGACUCUAUUUCCUCCCUGUUUCCCCUCAUAGGAUUCUGUUUCCUCCCUAUUUCCCCUUAUUGGACUCUAUUUCCUCCCUAUUUCCUCUCAUAGGAUUCUGUUUCCUCCCUAUUUCCCCUCAUAGGAUUCUAUUUCCUCUCUAUUUCCCCUUGUUGGGUUCUAUUUCCUGUCUAUUCCCAUUUUUUGGCCUAUUUCCACAUUCUACUCCCCCUUCCUCUUCCAUUUCCUCUUCUAUUCCCAUUGUAUUCCCACUUCCUCUUCCGUUUCCCCCCUCCACCCCCA
This 285-nucleotide long non-coding RNA is filed under the name Phasianus colchicus (ring-necked pheasant). RNAcentral's name for it is "lncRNA (ENSPCLG00000016708.1)". The record is from RNAcentral. Lineage: Eukaryota; Metazoa; Chordata; Aves; Galliformes; Phasianidae.